GAUGCAGUUUAACUUCAUACCCAGGACUAAUCUACCCAUGUCUCUAUUUAGUCAUUUAAUAUGCAGACUCGAGUAUAUGCAUACUAGGUUUGGAUAUUGAGUUUGUUACAUAGUGAUGGGUGGAAGUGCCCCAAGUAGCAGUUCUGGGACUUCCAUGGCCAGUGUCCUAAAGAGAGUCUGACAUUGCAAGGCAAUUUGACCUGCCUGAGAGACAAAGUAAGCUGAACACUAUGUUGCGGGAAGAAGGACUGAAAGACGAACAAGUAUACUGUGUGUGCCGCACAUCUGAUGUGUCGCGAUUCAUGAUCGGCUGUGACAAAUGUGAGGAGUGGUACCAUGGUGACUGUAUCAACGUUACAGAGAGUGAAGCCAACAAAAUUAAGAAGUUUUUUUGUGAAGUAAGAUAUUAAAGUUUGUGAAUAACAUAUGCAA
Molecule: long non-coding RNA, 432 nt
Organism: Penaeus monodon (black tiger shrimp)
Lineage: Eukaryota; Metazoa; Arthropoda; Malacostraca; Decapoda; Penaeidae
Exons: 3
Source: RefSeq, a predicted model, not a curated record